RNAcentral lists this ribosomal RNA (328 nucleotides) under Stephanocyathus coronatus. Its description in RNAcentral is "partial 16S ribosomal RNA". It matches the Rfam family "Bacterial large subunit ribosomal RNA", at positions 2003 to 2455 of the family's 2925-position model. The record is from RNAcentral. Lineage: Eukaryota; Metazoa; Cnidaria; Anthozoa; Scleractinia; Caryophylliidae.
CACGAGGGUUUCACUGUUUUAAAAAAUCUCCAAUGAAAUUGAGAUUGGGGUGAAGACGCCCCAUCCAAAUUGUAAGACGAGAAGUCCCCAUGGAACUUUACUGGAGGCUUAUAGUACGGAUAUUAAAAUAGAGGCUGAAGGGUCUUUUUUGUUUUUAUAGAAGGGUUCAAGGUAAGAGGGACAGUUUCAUUGGGGCGAUGGCUUUUUAAAAAGUAACAAAAGUGAGCUAGAAAUAUAAGUUUGAUUGUGAGGGAGAGGGCCCGAGCAGACACUCUAGGUGGGCGGAAGUGACCCGUUAUUUUUGAAUGAAAAAGUUAACGAUAAACAC